CCUAGUUUGGGGAAAUGUGUCCUUGUAUCCUUGUAUGCAUGACAGUAGUACAAACAUGAAUAACAUUGCUGCUUUUGGUGUUCAGGCAAGCACAUCUGUUCACGGUGCUAGGCUACAUCACGUAGCAUGCCAGACAGACCCACCAAAGAUGCGCACACAUGGAACGCAGCUUUCUAUGAAAACACUGCAACCUCACUACAAAAGUACAGGCACACAGAAAACUGUGCUGCACUGAUGUCGGUGUUGGGACCUCAGCUGUAAGAGACCUCGCUUGGAGGAGGGAGAGGACAAGAUGUGACAUUACAUGGAUAACCUGUUGGACCUCAUCUUUCACGAGGUUUUUCAGGACCCGGCCCCAUAUGUGAAUGAGGUGCUGAAGAUCUCAAAACCUGAGGAUCUCUCUGCCUAGUAUGAGAAACCUGACAAGCAGGAAGUUAUGGCCAGCUAUGUGUCGAGUUUCAAUCAAGGGCAGGUCUGAACCCUGUAUAACUUCCCUGAGCAUCAGGGAACACUCUGCGUAUCUGGAGCACCGAGCAGGAGGGCAGGACCACCCUGAUUCUCCGGCCCAGAGGGCCUCAACACCAGCUCACAAAGCUUCUGUACGCCAAAUACCUGUAACGGCUGAGCAAAGUUCACAUUGUAUUUAGAGAAUAAAAGGUGACACACAAAUAUAAAGUGUUCCUUUGUUUACAGUAUAGCUACUGAUGGCACAAAUUGUAUUUUUGUAAUGAAUGUAUUUAUUAUACUUGGUAUUUUUUGUAUUUAUUACCUCUG
Molecule: long non-coding RNA, 774 nt
Organism: Platichthys flesus (European flounder)
Lineage: Eukaryota; Metazoa; Chordata; Actinopteri; Pleuronectiformes; Pleuronectidae
Exons: 3
Source: RefSeq, a predicted model, not a curated record